UACGAAGGGGGCUAGCGUUGUUCGGAAUUACUGGGCGUAAAGCGCGCGCAGGCGGCCAUUCAAGUCAGGGGUGAAAGCCCAGAGCUCAACUCUGGAACUGCCCUUGAAACUGUAUGGCUUGAGUAUGAGAGAGGUGAGUGGAAUUCCCAGUGUAGAGGUGAAAUUCGUAGAUAUUGGGAAGAACACCGGUGGCGAAGGCGGCCAUCUGGACCGGCACUGACGCUGAGGCGCGAAAGCGUGGGGAGCAAACAGG
This 253-nucleotide ribosomal RNA is filed under the name uncultured bacterium. Its description in RNAcentral is "partial 16S ribosomal RNA". It matches the Rfam family "Bacterial small subunit ribosomal RNA", at positions 524 to 776 of the family's 1533-position model. The record is from RNAcentral.